ACUCAGCGUAUGUCCUCUGUCAUAAGCAGUACAAAAUGUAGUCACAGUAUUUGUGUUAAUCUUGGCUUUUAUGCCAGCUUUAGGCUUGGUAGUAUUUGGCUCUGGAAUCUUCUGUUCCAGUAGCAUAUUUAGUUUUUUCCGCCUCAGUAAUUACUUUAAUUAAGAAGAGAGGAUAUCAAAUUGUCACCUCACAAUGGAGAUUUUCCUCCUAUUACCGCUACUAAGCGGUCAAAGUAUGGGUCCAUCAAUAGAUGACUAUAGUCCAUCAAUUUACGGGUUCAUGAAUGUCUCGUGAACGUGUGUCUUUAAGCCGCUGAGAUGCCUCUGAAUCGAUGGCAGUCCUAGAAGCUUGGGGUAUGCUGUCUCCUGUCCAUCUGGACGUGUAGAGCUCGAUCACCGAGCCUAGAUUCAAAUUGAAGAAAUAGCUUUGAGAUGAUCUUCCUUUCAACUCAAGUAUACGUGAAACAAGCAAAAGUGACUGCUGGAGGAUUUUUUGAUCUGAACCGCUCUGUAGCUAUAUCAAUGCUUCUCACUGGCGCAACGUAUCUACUACUCUGUUAUCAGUCCAGAUUUGAAAUAGCCAACAUGCUUGACGCCUAUGGAAAUUUUCUCAAUGAUUUCUCCAUCAAAAAGGGUAAAAUAAUCGAGAUGAUUACACCAGAUCUUUAGAAUCCUCACACAGGAAACCUUACGGGAUUGAAACUACAAGAAUAUUAGGCAUAAAAUUUACUCGCUUAUCUCUAUUCUAACUCAAUAGAUAAAUAACAUGAUUAAUUCAAUGUGCAGUGAUAAUUAUAAGUGUAAUAUUCAACUAUAGUUUCGUGUUUUAGUUUUCCUAAAUUCAAAAUUUAUAACCUAUAUUUAUAUAUUUGGGCGAAAAUUGAA
RNAcentral lists this unclassified non-coding RNA (885 nucleotides) under Nilaparvata lugens (brown planthopper). RNAcentral describes it as "uncharacterized LOC111056391, transcript variant X6". Lineage: Eukaryota; Metazoa; Arthropoda; Insecta; Hemiptera; Delphacidae. The record is from RNAcentral.